GUGCUGGCUUAGGCAGAACAUAUACUAAAAAUGUAAGAAUACAGAGACGAUUAUUAGUGGGGCCCCUGCGCAACGAUAAGGCACAAAUUUGUAAAAUAUCCCAUAUUUUU
This is a small nuclear RNA of Choloepus hoffmanni (Hoffmann's two-fingered sloth), 110 nucleotides long. The record is from Ensembl. Lineage: Eukaryota; Metazoa; Chordata; Mammalia; Pilosa; Megalonychidae.